GCUCUGUGAUGGCUAGCUGAGA
Molecule: microRNA, 22 nt
Filed under: Gallus gallus (chicken)
Lineage: Eukaryota; Metazoa; Chordata; Aves; Galliformes; Phasianidae
Description: gga-miR-6616-5p
Source: miRBase by way of RNAcentral